UAAAUAAGGAAAGAGAGGG
RNAcentral lists this transfer RNA (19 nucleotides) under Campylopodium medium. Its description in RNAcentral is "partial tRNA-Ser". Lineage: Eukaryota; Viridiplantae; Streptophyta; Bryopsida; Dicranales; Dicranellaceae. The record is from RNAcentral.